AUUGAACGCUGGCGGCAUGCCUUACACAUGCAAGUCGAACGGCAGCACGGGAGCAAUCCUGGUGGCGAGUGGCGAACGGGUGAGUAAUAUAUCGGAACGUGCCCGGUCGUGGGGGAUAACGUAGCGAAAGCUACGCUAAUACCGCAUACGAUCUACGGAUGAAAGCGGGGGAUCGCAAGACCUCGCGCGAUUGGAGCGGCCGAUAUCAGAUUAGGUAGUUGGUGAGGUAAAGGCUCACCAAGCCGACGAUCUGUAGCUGGUCUGAGAGGACGACCAGCCACACUGGGGCUGAGACACGGCCCAGACUCCUACGGGAGGCAGCAGUGGGGAAUUUUGGACAAUGGGCGCAAGCCUGAUCCAGCAAUGCCGCGUGCAGGAUGAAGGCCUUCGGGUUGUAAACUGCUUUGUACGGAACGAAACGGUGAGCUCUAAUACAGUUUGCUAAUGACGGUACCGUAAGAAUAAGCACCGGCUAACUACGUG
RNAcentral lists this ribosomal RNA (483 nucleotides) under uncultured bacterium. RNAcentral's name for it is "bacterial SSU rRNA". It matches the Rfam family "Bacterial small subunit ribosomal RNA", at positions 30 to 507 of the family's 1533-position model. The record is from RNAcentral.